GCGGGUGUAGCUCAGUAGGUAGAGCGUCAGCCUUCCAAGCUGAGGGUCGCGGGUUCGAAUCCCGUCGCCCGCU
RNAcentral lists this transfer RNA (73 nucleotides) under Pseudomonadota bacterium. RNAcentral describes it as "tRNA-Gly". It matches the Rfam family "tRNA". Rfam says of the family: Transfer RNA (tRNA) molecules are approximately 80 nucleotides in length. Their secondary structure includes four short double-helical elements and three loops (D, anti-codon, and T loops). The record is from RNAcentral. RNAcentral also lists the same sequence under 1 other name. Lineage: Bacteria; Pseudomonadati; Pseudomonadota.